Long non-coding RNA from Cololabis saira (Pacific saury), 1367 nucleotides. RefSeq lists it as uncharacterized. The transcript has 3 exons. NCBI's taxonomy places the organism in Eukaryota, Metazoa, Chordata, Actinopteri, Beloniformes, Belonidae. The record is from RefSeq and is a predicted model, not a curated record.
UGUGCUACCGUGAGGCAGAGGAGAGAAAAAAGACCAUUAAUCUGACCGCGCAAUGACUGACAGCACUCAACAUCUGAUGUGAAGGAUGAACAUGACGUCCAAAAGACAUCACGAAUGAUAAGCGAGCAGGAGGGAAAAACAUGCAAAACCCAAGGAAACUCGUGCUUCACUUGAAGGCCUGGAUGAAGAACAGUUUGGGUUUUCCUUGCAAAGACGGGCAGUGCUGGCCGUUGAGGGAGGUUGUGAUGUUCUGAACUGGGACAUGCAGUCCGUCCACACCAUAGACGGCUCCCGGGAAGCGGCUGUGAUUCACCUGCAAGCAUAAACUUGAGCAUAUGCUUCUUUGCCAUAUGGAUUUGUAUUUGAAUAGGUCUGGGAGAAAAAAUUAGGUAGGAAAGCCUUAUUUAAAACAUGCAAGUAAUCUGAGGGUGAUGUAACAGCCUUUAAUGAGAUUUGCUUAUGGGUCAAUGACGUGACACCUAUAUUUUCCGAAAAACAGAUUUUUUUUCAAUUCAAAAAAGGUUUAAAUGGAUACAAAAAUACCAUAUAUAUGACCUACCUGUCCCACAUAUGGACUCACUUGAAUUUUACAAAAAAAAACUAGUUAUUUGGGAUUUUGUUGUUUUAAGCGCCAAAAUGUCAUGUGGUGCGAUCGUCCGACCAUGACUCUUGUUUUGAAAACUUUUUUGAAAUCACUCUAAAUGUUUUUAAAUCAAUCUUCUGCCCACCUGGCAUGAUUUCCAAAAUAUCUUGUAGUGUAUAAGAUUUAUACACAUUUAUAUUUAUAUUUCCAUCAUAAUAUACAAACAAAGUUUGACCGAUUUCCAUUUUAUGAAAUAUCAUGUGACGCGACUAUUAAAAUAACAUUUUAAUACUGAGAACUUGUUAAAAAAAAGAUGCAACAUGUUAAAGAAAUUAAUUUAUUUUAAUAUGAAUCAUGGUUGCACCACAUGACUUUUUUUUAAGGCUAGUGCCAAUUCAUCUUGACAAAAAUCACUUAAUUUAAAAGUUUUAUAAGAAUUUAUGUGUACACAACAUUCUUAAUGUUUGAACUACUGCAAUAGAUUUUUAUUAUUUUAAAAUUGACCUGUUGAAAAUCCUUAUUCGUCAUUGACCCUUAUGUGUUACAAUGAAAUAGAGUGAAAUGAAAGGAAGGCCAUACCUCAGUCCCAUGGGAGAGCAUUAUAACCACGCAGCAGUCAUACAGGGAAUGGUCUUUCUUAGACAAGGCUGAUAGGUUCUGUUUGAUUUGCUGAAACAUGAACAUAACUGUCAGCGCCACAAACUUUCAGUCGGUUUCAGACACAAAAGAGAAAAGAAACUAUUCUUACUUUCUGUUUCAGGUUUGUUUUGACUUCUACAAUAAA